Long non-coding RNA from Pipistrellus kuhlii (Kuhl's pipistrelle), 2218 nucleotides. RefSeq lists it as uncharacterized. Lineage: Eukaryota; Metazoa; Chordata; Mammalia; Chiroptera; Vespertilionidae. The record is from RefSeq and is a predicted model, not a curated record. The transcript has 2 exons.
UCCACCUCUGCGCUCCUCUGCAGAGCCCAGAGUCACUCCUCUGACUUGCAGUUCUCCCAGGGAAGGGUGACGCACUGGCGCACAAUAGGAAUUGUCGAGAUCUGAGAUGGAAGAAACGUGAGGGACCCGGGACCCGGAGGGAAGGUGUAGUGGGCACAGGCCACCUGGAAGCUAGAAGAGGUGCUGAGAACAAACCACAUUACCCAAGAUAUGGCCAAGAGGCUGAGCUCCCUAAAAGCAGGAUUUUGAGAAAUAAAUAAACAAGGAUUUGAGAAGAAAAAUGGAGCUGUGCUGGGACCUAGUGUGACAAUCCCUAGGAGGAGAUUAUGAAAACACAGUUCUGGCCCCAUAUUACCAUUAGUAUCAGUCUCCCCUUUAGACCAAGCCCUUAAGCUCCCCCAGAUCACUUAUUUAUUCCGACUGCCUGUACACCGAAGAGUUUUCCAUCACGAACUAAAUGAAUAAAUUGAUAAAAUAAUUUUAUAAUAAUAGCUAAUUUUCAUUGAAUGCCUACUAUAUGCCAGGCACUGAACUAUGCAUUUCAAUGGAUUCAUUCAUUUAAUCUUCACAACCUUAUGAAUGUGGUGUUAUGACUAGCCAAUGGUGACAAAGAUGGAAACUGCAGCACAGAGUGGUAAAGGGACUUGCCCAAGGUCACACAUAAGUGGCAAGACUGGACUCUCACACAGCCCAACUCCAGAACCUGCUGUCUCAACCACUGUCACCAACUGCCUCCUUGAAAUUAACUGAGAACAUACUGGGUGCCAGAUAAACAUUUUGUCUAUGAGUAGAAGGGCUGGGCAGUUCCUUCUGUUGCCUUGGAUUUGUCUCCUAGAAUCUCCUGUGCAUCUCUCCCUGCUCCUGAAACCCCACCUCCAUAAAAUCAGCCCAGGCCUGACACCACCCACAUCACCACCACCCUCACCAUCCCCCUCCAUCCCGCUGCCUCUAUAGAAAUUUCUAUUAAGUUUCCUCUCCUCACAGACACUAUCCUACAGAUAUGUCCACCCAUUAGCCUCUCUGCAGUGUUACGACUGGAUCAUAUUGGUCGUUCUCCUCUCAACUGCUGCUCUAAGCCCUGGAGGCCAAGGCCAGGCCUGUCGGCAUUAUUGUUGGCUCGUGAUGCACCACCUGAAAUGGGUCUGAGCCUGCAGCAGGUGCCUGUUAGAAAUGGUGACCUGAGCAGUAGCAUCAGAAUGGCACUGGCCUUGCUUUGUCUCUUUCUGUAGUCUGUUCCCUCCUGACCAAGCAGGUUAUUCCCACCAGUGGCCCCUAUAAGGAAGGCACUGUUAUUAGAAUCACUCUUUAAAUGAGGAAAAUGGGGAAGAAGGGUGUCCGAGAGGCAGACCCUCAUCUUUGGGCUCUGAGCCACCUCUUCUUUUCCAUAUCAAAUUGGUCAAAACUGGGCUAGCCCUUUCUUGGCAUAACCACCCCCUCCCAGCAUCACCAGCACUCACUAGAUCUCCCAGCACCUCAACCGGGCAAUGGAAUUGGGGUUGGGGACAGGAAUGAACCUCUACACUGAGAUGGCCUUGUAACCUUAGACACGUCACCACUUCCAGAGUUAACAUUACUUGCUCUGCUCAGAGCAUUAGUCCACAGGAUUCAGUUACAUCCUCAUAUGGAAGGCCAUCCAGAAGUAUUCUGAGGCGGCAUGCUCGUCGGCUCUGGAAUCUGACCGGUCUGAAUUUGGAUCCAGUUCUCCCUCAGUUCCAUAACCUCACCGAGCCUCAGCGUCCUGGCCUGUCAAUUGCAGCUGACCUCGCAGGCUCUCGUGAGAGCUGAGGGUGAAAUGAGUCAUGUGUGUAAAGCUCUCGGUGCAAUUCUGGGCUCAGAGAGAAUGCUCUAGAAACAGGUCCAUUAUUCUGAUGGUGACACUCCAGGCCAGCACUUCCCACAGACACAGACAUACCUGUCAAGUACAGGGGCAUUGCCAUCUCAGUGGAUUCAUUUUCCCAGAGCAACAAGUUCAUGUGGAACCAGAACAGAACAGAGCAGAAGGAUGUCAUGAACGUGGAGCCAUUUGGUGGCCGAAGGGGAGGGGAGAGGCGCCUCCCUCAGCUCCCUCCAUCCUCUGGGAUGGAUAAUUGAGGCUCCCCUAUCUUGGGCUCCAAGUCCCUCUUUCAAUCAGAUGAUCCUACUAAUACUGCUUCUAUAUUAAAAGUCCAACCUCUAAUAAAAACUGGAAAUAAAAGCAAAAGACAGUUUUAUUAUUUUA